This 262-nucleotide ribosomal RNA is filed under the name uncultured bacterium. Its description in RNAcentral is "partial 16S ribosomal RNA". It matches the Rfam family "Bacterial small subunit ribosomal RNA", at positions 335 to 615 of the family's 1533-position model. The record is from RNAcentral.
GCCCUACGGGACGCAGCAGUGGGGAAUAUUGCACAAUGGGGGGAACCCUGAUGCAGCGACGCCGCGUGAGUGAAGAAGUAUUUCGGUAUGUAAAUCUCUAUCAGCAGGGAAGAAGAUGACGGUACCUGACUAAGAAGCCCCGGCUAACUACGUGCCAGCAGCCGCGGUAAUACGUAGGGGGCAAGCGUUAUCCGGAUUUACUGGGUGUAAAGGGAGCGUAGACGGCAGUGCAAGUCUGGAGGGAAAGGCGGGGGCUCAACCC